UAAAGACUCUCGGCAACGGAUAUCUCGGCUCUUGCAUCGAUGAAGAACGUAGCGAAAUGCGAUACUUGGUGUGAAUUGCAGAAUCCCGUGAACCAUCGAGUCUUUGAACGCAAGUUGCGCCCGAAGCCAUUAGGCUGAGGGCACGCCUGCCUGGGUGUUGCA
This 162-nucleotide ribosomal RNA is filed under the name Cytisus nigricans. RNAcentral describes it as "5.8S ribosomal RNA". It matches the Rfam family "5.8S ribosomal RNA". From Rfam's summary of the family: 5.8S ribosomal RNA (5.8S rRNA) is a component of the large subunit of the eukaryotic ribosome. The record is from RNAcentral. Lineage: Eukaryota; Viridiplantae; Streptophyta; Magnoliopsida; Fabales; Fabaceae.